GCCAGUGUGUUGUAGUGGUUUCUGCACUGGACUAUGACUCUGGAGACGAGGGUUCAAUUCCCUGCUUGGCCA
RNAcentral lists this transfer RNA (72 nucleotides) under Phrynosoma platyrhinos (Desert horned lizard). RNAcentral describes it as "tRNA-OTHER". The record is from RNAcentral. Lineage: Eukaryota; Metazoa; Chordata; Lepidosauria; Squamata; Phrynosomatidae.